This 711-nucleotide unclassified non-coding RNA is filed under the name Ixodes scapularis (black-legged tick). RNAcentral's name for it is "uncharacterized LOC120843705, transcript variant X1". The record is from RNAcentral. Lineage: Eukaryota; Metazoa; Arthropoda; Arachnida; Ixodida; Ixodidae.
AUUUUUACGUAGAACUCAUAUCGAUCCGAUAUGCCGCGUCCGAGAAUGGAUUUUGCGACUAAUAAGUAGCGAGGCACCACGCGAGCAAGAAUGAACGGCCCUGGAGGUUAUGGGCACUGCUCAAUUGGCUCAUUCCUCGGUGCUUCUCGAAGGCCUGGUCAAGGAGGAGUUGCUCAGUGAACUACUAGUUUGAGUUCCCUGAGACGGACACCACUGACAUCACCUACAGUGCCGAGGUACAGGCUUAAUGGCAGAUAUCAAUAGGAGAUGAUGGUGCUGCCACGGACUUUGGCUCGUGGGGGUGCCGUCGCUACUGACAAAGCCUCUGCUCCCCGUCGUCCCUGUUGAAAUGGUGGCUGGAACUUGGAGAGGGUUUGCUGCCACAGCCGGAUCCAGUGUUACAUUCCUGUGGCUUUUUGGUUGUUUCCCAAUUAUUGCAAGGGAGUUGCAGGCUUAUCAUGGGCGACACAGUGCUUUGCUCGCACCUUCACGGAGUGCAGCAAUGUGGGGAAGCAAGUCGAGGACAGCCUCUCUCGAUUUCUGCCCCGGGGGCGCUAUGCUCUUCAGCUGACACCUUACAGACAUGUCAGGAAGCAAGGAAAGGUUCUUUUUUCACUCAUCGUUUACAUUUGGGUGAUUAACUUAGUCUUGAAAAAAAACACGUCAUUUUAAUGACAUUGUGAUAAAUAAAUUUUGGGUCUUUAAAUUGUC